AGCUGGUCUGAGUGCAGUGGUGUUUACAACUAAUUGAUCACAACCAGUUACAGAUUUCUUUGUUCCUUUUCUCAUUCCCACUGCUUCACUUCACUAGCCUAAA
This 103-nucleotide Y RNA is filed under the name Pongo abelii (Sumatran orangutan). RNAcentral describes it as "Y RNA (ENSPPYG00000039036.1)". It matches the Rfam family "Y RNA". From Rfam's summary of the family: Y RNAs are components of the Ro ribonucleoprotein particle (Ro RNP), in association with Ro60 and La proteins. The Y RNAs and Ro60 and La proteins are well conserved, but the function of the Ro RNP is not known. The record is from Rfam by way of RNAcentral. Lineage: Eukaryota; Metazoa; Chordata; Mammalia; Primates; Hominidae.